This 404-nucleotide ribosomal RNA is filed under the name uncultured Hyphomicrobium sp. RNAcentral's name for it is "bacterial SSU rRNA". It matches the Rfam family "Bacterial small subunit ribosomal RNA", at positions 355 to 776 of the family's 1533-position model. The record is from RNAcentral. Lineage: Bacteria; Pseudomonadati; Pseudomonadota; Alphaproteobacteria; Hyphomicrobiales; Hyphomicrobiaceae.
UGGGGAAUAUUGGACAAUGGGCGCAAGCCUGAUCCAGCCAUGCCGCGUGAGUGAUGAAGGCCUUAGGGUUGUAAAGCUCUUUUAGCAGGGAAGAUAAUGACUGUACCUGCAGAAUAAGCUCCGGCUAACUUCGUGCCAGCAGCCGCGGUAAUACGAAGGGAGCUAGCGUUGUUCGGAAUCACUGGGCGUAAAGCGCACGUAGGCGGAUUUGUUAGUGAGGGGUGAAAUCCCGGGGCUCAACCUCGGAACUGCCUUUCAUACUGCAAGUCUCGAGUCCGAUAGAGGUGGGUGGAAUUCCUAGUGUAGAGGUGAAAUUCGUAGAUAUUAGGAAGAACACCGGUGGCGAAGGCGGCCCACUGGAUCGGUACUGACGCUGAGGUGCGAAAGCGUGGGGAGCAAACAGG